Molecule: unclassified non-coding RNA, 233 nt
Filed under: Cystofilobasidiales sp.
Lineage: Eukaryota; Fungi; Basidiomycota; Tremellomycetes; Cystofilobasidiales
Also listed under: 1 other name
Description: partial internal transcribed spacer 2
Source: RNAcentral
AACUCUCAACUCCCAACUUUCUUAAUAGUCGGUUGGGAGCUUGGACUUGAGCGCUGCUGGUCUUUAUUGACCGGCUCGCUUGAAAUGAAUUAGCAGAUCCUUUUUGUAAUCGGUUCCACUCGACGUGAUAAGUAUUUCGCCGAGGACAUCUUAACGGAUGGCCGAGAUAAAGAAAGUCUUUAGAUCCGCUUCUAAUUCUUAGCUAGAGCUUGCUCUACUAAACCCCUUUUAUG